CCUACGGGUGGCAGCAGUGAGGAAUAUUGGUCAAUGGACGAGAGUCUGAACCAGCCAAGUAGCGUGAAGGAUGACUGCCCUAUGGGUUGUAAACUUCUUUUAUAUGGGAAUAAAAUGUUCCACGUGUGGGAUUUUGUAUGUACCAUAUGAAUAAGGAUCGGCUAACUCCGUGCCAGCAGCCGCGGUAAUACGGAGGAUCCGAGCGUUAUCCGGAUUUAUUGGGUUUAAAGGGAGCGUAGGUGGAUUGUUAAGUCAGUUGUGAAAGUUUGCGGCUAAACCGUAAAAUUGCAGUUGAAACUGGCAGUCUUGAGUACAGUAGAGGUGGGCGGAAUUCGUGGUGUAGCGGUGAAAUGCGUAGAUAUCACGAAGAACUCCGAUUGCGAAGGCAGUUCACUGGACUGCAACUGACACUGAGGCUCGAAAGUGUGGGUAUCAAACAGGAUUAGAUACCCUAGUAGUC
This 460-nucleotide ribosomal RNA is filed under the name uncultured bacterium. RNAcentral's name for it is "partial 16S ribosomal RNA". It matches the Rfam family "Bacterial small subunit ribosomal RNA", at positions 338 to 795 of the family's 1533-position model. The record is from RNAcentral.